Molecule: ribosomal RNA, 1346 nt
Filed under: uncultured bacterium
Lineage: Bacteria
Description: partial 16S ribosomal RNA
Rfam family: Bacterial small subunit ribosomal RNA
Source: RNAcentral
GACGAACGCUGGCGGCGUGCUUAACACAUGCAAGUCGAACGGAAAGGCCCUGCUUUUGUGGGGUGCUCGAGUGGCGAACGGGUGAGUAACACGUGAGUAACCUGCCCUUGACUUUGGGAUAACUUCAGGAAACUGGGGCUAAUACAGGAUAGGAGCUCCUGCUGCAUGGUGGGGGUUGGAAAGUUUCGGCGGUUGGGGAUGGACUCGCGGCUUAUCAGCUUGUUGGUGGGGUAGUGGCUUACCAAGGCUUUGACGGGUAGCCGGCCUGAGAGGGUGACCGGCCACAUUGGGACCGAGAUACGGCCCAGACUCCUACGGGAGGCAGCAGUGGGGAAUAUUGCACAAUGGGCGGAAGCCCGAUGCAGCAACGCCGCGUGCGGGAUGACGGCCUUCGGGUUGUAAACCGCUUUCGCCUGUGACGAAGCGUGAGUGACGGUAAUGGGUAAAGAAGCACCGGCUAACUACGUGCCAGCAGCCGCGGUGAUACGUAGGGUGCGAGCGUUGUCCGGGUUUAUUGGGCGUAAAGGGCUCGUAGGUGGUUGAUCGCGUCGGAAGUGUAAUCUUGGGGCUUAACCCUGAGCGUGCUUUCGAUACGGGUUGACUUGAGGAAGGUAGGGGAGAAUGGAAUUCCUGGUGGAGCGGUGGAAUGCGCAGAUAUCAGGAGGAACACCAGUGGCGAAGGCGGUUCUCUGGGCCUUUCCUGACGCUGAGGAGCGAAAGCGUGGGGAGCGAACAGGCUUAGAUACCCUGGUAGUCCACGCUGUAAACGGUGGGUACUAGGUGUGGGGUCCAUUCCACGGGUUCCGUGCCGUAGCUAACGCUUUAAGUACCCCGCCUGGGGAGUACGGCCGCAAGGCUAAAACUCAAAGGAAUUGACGGGGCCCCGCACAAGCGGCGGAGCAUGCGGAUUAAUUCGAUGCAACGCGUAGAACCUUACCUGGGUUUGACAUGGAUCGGGAGUGCUCAGAGAUGGGUGUGCCUCUUUUGGGGUCGGUUCACAGGUGGUGCAUGGCUGUCGUCAGCUCGUGUCGUGAGAUGUUGGGUUAAGUCCCGCAACGAGCGCAACCCUUGUUCACUGUUGCCAGCACGUUAUGGUGGGGACUCAGUGGAGACCGCCGGGGUCAACUCGGAGGAAGGUGGGGAUGACGUCAAGUCAUCAUGCCCCUUAUGUCCAGGGCUUCACGCAUGCUACAAUGGCUGGUACAGAGAGUGGCGAGCCUGUGAGGGUGAGCGAAUCUCGGAAAGCCGGUCUCAGUUCGGAUUGGGGUCUGCAACUCGACCUCAUGAAGUCGGAGUCGCUAGUAAUCGCAGAUCAGCAACGCUGCGGUGAAUACGUUCCCGGGGCU